AAGUCUUUUGAUCAGCUUCCAAGCCAGGACAGGCGGCCAUCAGGGGAUGAAAUGAGAGACAGAGGCUCAUCUGAGUGAUUAUAGAAAACUCUUACCUAACCAGAGCUCAUAAUGUAAUGGUUCAAUGUCCUUCCCUUUGAAUAGUGGGAGUUGAGCUGUAUUUCUUAGACUGGAAACCAGAAUGAAGUGUAUGGAAGUUCCAAACACUGGGAAGGUUUUUGACUUGGCCAAGAAAUUUCUCUGAACUAUACUGGUGAAAGCACUAAGAGGUUCGUGAAGCUACUCCUUUGAGAAAGGUGAUAGAGAAUUAAAUGGAACCAGCCAUAUGCAGAACGUCAGGGAUUAGUAGUGAUCUGGGCAGUCUGGAUGCUUAAUGAAGAGGUAGUGAGACGCGUGAUAGAAACAGCCCUCCUUCCAGCUCCUCCUCCAUACGAUGCUUGACGAUGGUACCCGUGGUAAGCCUCACACACCUCUUUCCCUGCCACGUCAGCAGAGUCCACGGAGCCCUUUUCUACAUAUCAGUUCUCAUAGCCACCGGGCAUUCAGUGGCUGUUCACAUGGUCAGAAUUGGACGAGGAUUUGGGAAAUCAAUAAAACAUUCUGUCUUAGACAUCUUUGGGGAAAUCUUGCUUGGCCCACAGGUUCCUCUGUCCUUGGAAUUCUUCAAGUAAGAAUACUGGAGUGGAUAAAAAUGCCCUUCUCCAGGGGAUCUUCCUGACCCAGAGAUCAAACCCCAGUCUCCUGCAUUGCAGCCAGAUUCUUUACCAUCUGAGCCACUAGGAAGGCCUUUUGAAGACCAUUCCCAAGAAUAAGAAAUGUUAAAGGCAAAAUGGUGAUCUGAGGAGGCCUUACAAAUAGCUGUGAAAAGAAGAGAAGCUAAAGGCAAAGGAGAAAAGGAAAGAUAUACCCAUUUCAAUGCAGAUUUCCAAAGAAUAGCAAGGAGAGAUAAGAAAGCCUUCCUCAGUGAUCAGUGCAAAGAAAGAGGAAAACAACCCAAUGGGAAAGACUAUCGAUCUCUUUAAGAAAAUUAGAGAUACCAAGGGAACAUUUCAUGCAAAGAUGGGCACAAUAAAGGACAGAAAUGGUAUGGACCUAAACAGAAGAAGAAGAUAUUAAGAAGAGGCGGAAAGAAAACACAGAAGAACUAUGCAAAAAAGAUCUUCAUGACCCAGAUAAUCACGAUGGUGUGAUCACUCACCUAGAGCCUGACAUUCUGGAAUGCAAAGUCAAGUGGGCCUUAGGAAGCAUCACUAUGAACAAGGCUAGUGGAGGUGAUGGAAUUCCAGUUGAGCUAUUCCAAAUCCUGAAAGAUGAUGCUGUGAAAGUGCUGCACUCAAUAUGAUAGCAAAUUUGGAAAAUUCAGGAGUGGCCACAGGACUGGAAAAGGUCAGUUUUCUUUCCAAUCACAAAGAAAGGCAAUGCCAAAGAAUGCUCAAACUACCACACAAUUGCACUCAUCUCACACACUAGCAAAGUAAUGUCCAAAAUUCUCCAAGCCAUGUUUCAACAGUACAUGAACCGUGAACUUCCAGAUGUUCAAGCUGGUUUUAGAAAAGGCAGAGGAACCAGAGAUCAAAUUGCCAACAUUUGUUGGAUCAUCGAAAAAGCAAGAGAGUUCCAGAGAAACACCUAUUUCUGCUUUAUUGACUAUGCCAAAGCAUUUGACUGUGUGGAUCACCACAAACUGUGGAAAAUUCUUAGAAAGAUGGGAAUACCAGAUCACCUGACUUGCCUUUUGAGAAAUCUGUAUGCAAGUCAGAAAGCAACAGUUAGAACAUGACAUGGAACAACAGACUGGUUCCAAAGGAGUACGUCAAGGCUGU
This is a long non-coding RNA of Bos taurus (domestic cattle), 1823 nucleotides long. NCBI's taxonomy places the organism in Eukaryota, Metazoa, Chordata, Mammalia, Artiodactyla, Bovidae. The record is from Ensembl.